GAUGAACGCUGGCGGCGUGCUUAACACAUGCAAGUCGAACGGAAAGGCUCCUGCUUGCAGGGGUACUCGAGUGGCGAACGGGUGAGUAACACGUGGGUGAUCUGCCCUGCACUUCGGGAUAAGCCUGGGAAACUGGGUCUAAUACCGGAUAGGACGAUGGUUUGGAUGCCAUUGUGGAAAGUUUUUCGGUGUGGGAUGAGCUCGCGGCGUAUCAGCUUGUUGGUGGGGUAAUGGCCUACCAAGGCGUCGACGGGUAGCCGGCCUGAGAGGGUGUACGGCCACAUUGGGACUGAGAUACGGCCCAGACUCCUACGGGAGGCAGCAGUGGGGAAUAUUGCACAAUGGGCGCAAGCCUGAUGCAGCGACGCCGCGUGGGGGAUGACGGCCUUCGGGUUGUAAACUCCUUUCGCUAGGGACGAAGCGCAAGUGACGGUACCUGGAGAAGAAGCACCGGCUAACUACGUG
This 465-nucleotide ribosomal RNA is filed under the name uncultured bacterium. RNAcentral describes it as "partial 16S ribosomal RNA". It matches the Rfam family "Bacterial small subunit ribosomal RNA", at positions 28 to 507 of the family's 1533-position model. The record is from RNAcentral.